Molecule: ribosomal RNA, 254 nt
Filed under: uncultured bacterium
Lineage: Bacteria
Description: partial 16S ribosomal RNA
Rfam family: Bacterial small subunit ribosomal RNA
Source: RNAcentral
UACGUAGGGUGCGAGCGUUGUCCGGAAUUAUUGGGCGUAAAGAGCUCGUAGGCGGUCUGUCGCGUCGAUCGUGAAAACUUGGGGCUUAACCCUGAGCUUGCGGUCGAUACGGGCAUGACUGGAGUUCGGCAGGGGAGACUGGAAUUCCUGGUGUAGCGGUGAAAUGCGCAGAUAUCAGGAGGAACACCGGUGGCGAAGGCGGGUCUCUGGGCCGAUACUGACGCUGAGGAGCGAAAGCGUGGGGAGCGAAUGGG